Molecule: RNA transcript, 1434 nt
Organism: Drosophila guanche
Lineage: Eukaryota; Metazoa; Arthropoda; Insecta; Diptera; Drosophilidae
Gene: mRpL39
Gene name: 39S ribosomal protein L39, mitochondrial
Exons: 7
Source: RefSeq, a predicted model, not a curated record
GGGUGUAGGUAUAUUUUAUCGCGGAUUUAUCCCCGGUCCCACUGGUACGAAAAUAAAUAGUAAAAAAUCAUGUCUAGGGCUACAAAAUUACAUAAAGCAAGCUGGUGUGCCCUAAGCCAAUUGCAGCAAUACAGAACUAAAUCAAACUUUUCUACGUCGAUUGCCUCUCGGAAUGAACUGUUUGCACAGGAGCAGCGCCGGCAACGAGACGCCGUUGGCCGUAUUGACAAGAUCGAGGUCCGUUAUUUGGGUUUGCCCGAGGAUGUGACUCUGGUGAUGAACAACCAUAUCUCCACGCCAUUCAACUGUGCACAGCACUUGAGUGAGGGACACUGCAGACGCACUGCUCUGGCUCUAAUCGAUGGUAGUGUCCCGUGGGAUAUGCACCGGCCCCUUCAGGAGUCCUGCACCUUGCAGUUGCUCAACUUUAAUGUCUCCGAGCCGCAUGUGGUCAACAAAGCCUUCUGGCGUACAUGCAGCUUCAUGCUGGGCGCUGCUUUGACGCGGGCAUUUAAGACGGAAGCGAACCUCCAAUUGCACAGCUUCCCGGGACCAAACAUCAAGUCGGGUAGCUUUAUUCACGAUAUCGUGCUGGAGACCCAAAACUGGCAGCCAUCGAAGUCGGAAAUGCGAGCCAUCUCGGCUGAAAUGAUUAGACUUGCGGCCCAGGAUUUGCGCAUCGAACGCUUGGACGUUCAGCAAGAGAUUGCCCAGGAGAUUUUUAAGGAUUCUAAAUACAAGAGCGAACAAUUGCCGAGUAUCGCGCAACAGAAUAAUGGGCGAGUGAGUCUGUACCGCCUGGGGGACCACAUUGACAUCUCACGUGGUCCCAUGGUGGCAUCCACUCACUUCCUAGGCAAGUGCACUGUCUCGGCGGCCCACAAGUUAGCCGAGGAAGGGUCAGCAGGAGCCUUCUAUCGCAUCCAAGGCGUGGCCCUGCCUUGUGGCUUCAAGUUGAGUCACGUUGCGUAUGGCUUGCUGGAGGAGCGAUCGCAGAAGCUGAACCCCGCUCGCUUGCCCCAUGAACCUUUUGAGGAGCAACAACAAUUGCAGUUAUCUUAAACAGAUCUUUAAUCGAUAAAAGCUUUACAAUAAGUGUUAACAGAUGCAUUAAUUGGACGUCGUUUAAGGUAUUACUCGUCAAAGUCUAUGGAGAGACGUAUGAGCUACAACUGUUUAACCUGUUGAACUUUUCCAGAGUUUUGCUAAAUAUUUGUUAAAGUCCCAUCACGGGUUUCGGACCAGGCUACCUAGAAAACUCGCAUUAAUUCAAAUGGCUUGAGAGCUCCAAGAAAUUUACCCGCUCUAUGGAGAACCAGACGCACUCAGAACCCGAAUCAGACUGAAAUCUCUUUGCUAUCGGCGGGGUAUGCACUGCCCACCGAAAAGCUUGAUUAAAAUAAUAAAACAACGAAAUAAAGACGAAUAUGUAAA